Molecule: ribosomal RNA, 253 nt
Filed under: uncultured bacterium
Lineage: Bacteria
Description: partial 16S ribosomal RNA
Rfam family: Bacterial small subunit ribosomal RNA
Source: RNAcentral
UACGUAGGGGGCAAGCGUUGUCCGGAAUUCUUGGGCGUAAAGAGCGUGUAGGCGGUCCGGUACGUCAGCUGUGAAAGUCAAGGGCUCAACCCUUGAAAGCCGGUUGAUACUGUCGGGCUAGAGUCCGGAAGAGGCGAGUGGAAUUCCCGGUGUAGCGGUGAAAUGCGCAGAUAUCGGGAGGAACACCAAUGGCGAAGGCAGCUCGCUGGGACGGUACUGACGCUGAGACGCGAAAGCGUGGGGAGCAAACAGG